RNAcentral lists this ribosomal RNA (425 nucleotides) under uncultured bacterium. RNAcentral describes it as "bacterial SSU rRNA". It matches the Rfam family "Bacterial small subunit ribosomal RNA", at positions 357 to 774 of the family's 1533-position model. The record is from RNAcentral.
GGGAAUUUUGGACAAUGGGCGCAAGCCUGAUCCAGCAAUGCCGCGUGAGUGAAGAAGGCCUUCGGGUUGUAAAGCUCUUUUGUCAGGGAAGAAACGGUGAAGGCUAAUAUCUUUUGCUAAUGACGGUACCUGAAGAAUAAGCACCGGCUAACUACGUGCCAGCAGCCGCGGUAAUACGUAGGGUGCAAGCGUUAAUCGGAAUUACUGGGCGUAAAGCGUGCGCAGGCGGUUUUGUAAGUUUGUCGUGAAAGCCCCGGGCUCAACCUGGGAAUUGCGAUGAAGACUGCAAGGCUUGAAUCUGGCAGAGGGGGGUAGAAUUCCACGUGUAGCAGUGAAAUGCGUAGAGAUGUGGAGGAACACCGAUGGCGAAGGCAGCCCCCUGGGUCAAGAUUGACGCUCAUGCACGAAAGCGUGGGGAGCAAACA